CACGGUGGUUGCGAGCGUUGUCCGAAAUUACUAGGCGUAAAGGGCAGGCAGGCGGAUCCAUAAGUUUAUCGUUUAAGGCGUCGGCUUAACCGGCGUAGGGCGGUAGGUACUGUGGAUCUGGAAUGCGGUUGGGGAAGACAGAAUUCCUGGUGUAGCGGUGGAAUGCGCAGAGAUCAGGAGGAAUACCGAAGGCGAAGGCAGUCUUCCAAGCCGUUAUUGACGCUCAACUGCGAAGGUGUGGGUAUCAAACAGGAUUAGAUACCCUGGUAGUCCCUGA
Molecule: ribosomal RNA, 277 nt
Filed under: uncultured prokaryote
Description: partial 16S ribosomal RNA
Rfam family: Bacterial small subunit ribosomal RNA
Source: RNAcentral